RNAcentral lists this ribosomal RNA (323 nucleotides) under uncultured bacterium. Its description in RNAcentral is "bacterial SSU rRNA". It matches the Rfam family "Bacterial small subunit ribosomal RNA", at positions 477 to 793 of the family's 1533-position model. The record is from RNAcentral.
AGCUGCAGAAGAAGCACCGGCUAACUCCGUGCCAGCAGCCGCGGUAAUACGGAGGUGCGAGCGUUAAUCGGAAUUACUGGGCGUAAAGCGCAUGCAGGUGGUUUGUUAAGUCAGAUGUGAAAGACCCGGGGCGUCAACCUACGGAAUUGCAUUUGUAAACUGGCAAACUAGAGUACUGUAGAGGGGGGUAGGAAUUUCAGGUGUAGCGGUGAAAUAGCGUAGAGAUCUGAAGGAAUACCGGUGGCGAAGGCGGCCCCCUCGGACAGAUACUGACACUCAGAUGCGAAAGCGUGGGGAGCAAACAGGAUUAGAUACCCUGGUAG